UACAGAGGGGGCAAGCGUUGUUCGGAAUUACUGGGCGUAAAGGGCGCGUAGGCGGCCUUCUAAGUCGAACGUGAAAUCCCCGGGCUCAACCCGGGAACUGCGUCCGAUACUGGAAGGCUUGAAUCCGGGAGAGGGAUGCGGAAUUCCAGGUGUAGCGGUGAAAUGCGUAGAUAUCUGGAGGAACACCGGUGGCGAAGGCGGCAUCCUGGGCCUGCACUGACGCUCAUGCACGAAAGCGUGGGGAGCAAACAGG
This 253-nucleotide ribosomal RNA is filed under the name uncultured bacterium. Its description in RNAcentral is "partial 16S ribosomal RNA". It matches the Rfam family "Bacterial small subunit ribosomal RNA", at positions 524 to 776 of the family's 1533-position model. The record is from RNAcentral.